Non-coding RNA from Colletotrichum caudatum, 140 nucleotides. Lineage: Eukaryota; Fungi; Ascomycota; Sordariomycetes; Glomerellales; Glomerellaceae. The record is from the annotation of a GenBank genome assembly.
GGCCGGUUGGCCCAAUGGCAAGGCGUCUGCCUACGAUCCCGCAACGUCCCCCCUCCAAGUCUCCCCUCGGACAUUCGAGCGGGAUGCGGUGUAACCGCAGGCCAUCAGGAGAUUCUGGGUUCGACCCCCCAGGCUGGUCA